GUCCCAGUUCGGAUUGCAGGCUGCAACCCGCCUGCAUGAAGUUGGAAUCGCUAGUAAUCGCGGAUCAGCAUGCCGCGGUGAAUACGUUCCCGGGCCUUGUACACACCGCCCGUCACACCAUGAGAGUCGGGAACACCCGAAGUCCGUAGCCUAACCGCAAGGGGGCGCGGCCGAAGGUGGGUUCGAUAAUUGGGUGAAGUCGUAACAAGGUAUC
This 214-nucleotide ribosomal RNA is filed under the name uncultured bacterium. RNAcentral's name for it is "partial 16S ribosomal RNA". It matches the Rfam family "Bacterial small subunit ribosomal RNA", at positions 1285 to 1500 of the family's 1533-position model. The record is from RNAcentral.